AUUGAACGCUGGCGGCAUGCCUUACACAUGCAAGUCGAACGGCAGCACGGGAGCAAUCCUGGUGGCGAGUGGCGAACGGGUGAGUAAAGUAUCGGAACGUGCCCAGUCGUGGGGGAUAACGUAGCGAAAGUUACGCUUAUACCGCCUACGAUCUAUGGAUGAAAGCGGGGGAUCGACAGACCUCGCGCGGUUGGAGCGGCCGAUAUCAGAUUAGGUAGUUGGUGGGGUAAAGGCUCACCAAGCCGACGAUCUGUAGCUGGUCUGAGGGGACGACCAGCCACACUGGGACUGAGACACGGCCCAGACUCCUACGGGAGGCAGCAGUGGGGAAUUUUGGACAAUGGGCGAAAGCCUGAUCCAGCCAUGCCGCGUGCAGGAUGGAGGCCUUCGGGUUGUAAACUGCUUUUGUACGGAACGAAAAGGUUUGGCCUAAUAAGCUGAGCUCAUGACGGUACCGUAAGAAUAAGCACCGGCUAACUACGUGCCAGCCGCCGCCGUAA
RNAcentral lists this ribosomal RNA (500 nucleotides) under uncultured bacterium. RNAcentral describes it as "partial 16S ribosomal RNA". It matches the Rfam family "Bacterial small subunit ribosomal RNA", at positions 30 to 523 of the family's 1533-position model. The record is from RNAcentral.